Molecule: long non-coding RNA, 417 nt
Filed under: Vigna radiata
Lineage: Eukaryota; Viridiplantae; Streptophyta; Magnoliopsida; Fabales; Fabaceae
Description: long non-coding RNA (VRAD_LNC011264)
Source: RNAcentral
ACAAAGUGUGACGAUUGCACCAUUUUGAUUCAACCAAAAUCCAAGUGACUAAACAUGGUUCAAAACAAAGAAAUUCUCUAGAGUUCUACAUUGCAACGUCCCAAAAAAAAACAAAGAAAGAGAGUGGCGGCUGGUGGAAUGUUUUUCCCUAGGACCAUGUGUCCUAAUAAAAAUGGGUGGGGUCCACCCUAAAAGAAACCCUAGGGUGACAAGUGUCCUANAAUUUUGGGNCCCUCAUAAUUUUUUAACAAUGGCCCAAUGUGCAAAAGUUUGUCGAAAAAGUUUAAGCAAUUAAAAUUACACUACAAUUAAUUUUAAAAUGNCUAAUUGGAGAGUCUUGAAUUAAUUUGUCUCCAUCCUAAUGCUCCAAAAUAUAUCUCCAAAAUUUUCCCUGCAAUUAAAAAUGCAAAUAAUUAG